UGGGGAAUAUUGCACAAUUGGCGCAAGCCUGAUGCAGCAACGUCGCGUGAACGAUGAAGGUCUUCGGAUCGUAAAGUUCUGUUGCAGGGGAAGAUAAUGACGGUACCCUGUGAGGCAGCCCCGGCUAACUACGUGCCAGCAGCCGCGGUAAUACGUAGGGGGCUAGCGUUAUCCGGAUUUACUGGGCGUAAAGGGUGCGUAGGUGGUCUUUCAAGUCGGUGGUUAAAGGCUACGGCUCAACCGUAGUUAGCCUCCGAAACUGGAAGACUUGAGUGCAGGAGAGGAAGGUGGAAUUCCCAGUGUAGCGGUGAAAUGCGUAGAUAUUGGGAGGAACACCAGUAGCGAAGGCGGCUUUCUGGACUGCAACUGACACUGAGGCACGAAAGCGUGGGUAGCAAACAGG
This 403-nucleotide ribosomal RNA is filed under the name Verrucomicrobiota bacterium. Its description in RNAcentral is "Verrucomicrobia bacterium partial 16S ribosomal RNA". It matches the Rfam family "Bacterial small subunit ribosomal RNA", at positions 355 to 776 of the family's 1533-position model. The record is from RNAcentral. Lineage: Bacteria; Pseudomonadati; Verrucomicrobiota.